RNAcentral lists this ribosomal RNA (529 nucleotides) under Enterococcus faecium. RNAcentral describes it as "bacterial SSU rRNA". It matches the Rfam family "Bacterial small subunit ribosomal RNA", at positions 54 to 554 of the family's 1533-position model. Lineage: Bacteria; Bacillati; Bacillota; Bacilli; Lactobacillales; Enterococcaceae. The record is from RNAcentral.
CAUGCAAGUCGAACGCUUCUUUUUCCACCGGAGCUUGCUCCACCGGAAAAAGAGGAGUGGCGAACGGGUGAGUAACACGUGGGUAACCUGCCCAUCAGAAGGGGAUAACACUUGGAAACAGGUGCUAAUACCGUAUAACAAUCAAAACCGCAUGGUUUUGAUUUGAAAGGCGCUUUCGGGUGUCGCUGAUGGAUGGACCCGCGGUGCAUUAGCUAGUUGGUGAGGUAACGGCUCACCAAGGCCACGAUGCAUAGCCGACCUGAGAGGGUGAUCGGCCACAUUGGGACUGAGACACGGCCCAAACUCCUACGGGAGGCAGCAGUAGGGAAUCUUCGGCAAUGGACGAAAGUCUGACCGAGCAACGCCGCGUGAGUGAAGAAGGUUUUCGGAUCGUAAAACUCUGUUGUUAGAGAAGAACAAGGAUGAGAGUAACUGUUCAUCCCUUGACGGUAUCUAACCAGAAAGCCACGGCUAACUACGUGCCAGCAGCCGCGGUAAUACGUAGGUGGCAAGCGUUGUCCGGAUUUAU